AUGGCUCAAAUGUUAGAGCACCUGCCUAGAAAGUAUGAGGCCCUGAGUUCAAAUCCCAGU
Molecule: transfer RNA, 60 nt
Filed under: Dipodomys ordii (Ord's kangaroo rat)
Lineage: Eukaryota; Metazoa; Chordata; Mammalia; Rodentia; Heteromyidae
Rfam family: tRNA
About the family: Transfer RNA (tRNA) molecules are approximately 80 nucleotides in length. Their secondary structure includes four short double-helical elements and three loops (D, anti-codon, and T loops). Further hydrogen bonds mediate the characteristic L-shaped molecular structure. tRNAs have two regions of fundamental functional importance: the anti-codon, which is responsible for specific mRNA codon recognition, and the 3' end, to which the tRNAs corresponding amino acid is attached (by aminoacyl-tRNA synthetases). tRNAs cope with the degeneracy of the genetic code in two manners: having more than one tRNA (with a specific anti-codon) for a particular amino acid; and 'wobble' base-pairing, i.e. permitting non-standard base-pairing at the 3rd anti-codon position.
Source: Rfam by way of RNAcentral